RNAcentral lists this ribosomal RNA (492 nucleotides) under uncultured bacterium. Its description in RNAcentral is "bacterial SSU rRNA". It matches the Rfam family "Bacterial small subunit ribosomal RNA", at positions 28 to 507 of the family's 1533-position model. The record is from RNAcentral.
GAUGAACGCUAGCUACAGGCUUAACACAUGCAAGUCGAGGGGAAACGACAUCGAAAGCUUGCUUUUGAUGGGUGUCGACCGGCGCACGGGUGAGUAACGCGUAUCCAACCUGCCCACCACUUGGGAAUAACCUUGCGAAAGUAAGACUAAUGCCCAAUGACAUUUAUAGAAGGCAUCUGAAAUGAAUUAAAGAUUUAUCGGUGAUGGAUGGGGAUGCGUCUGAUUAGCUUGUUGGCGGGGUAACGGCCCACCAAGGCGACGAUCAGUAGGGGUUCUGAGAGGAAGGUCCCCCACAUUGGAGCUGAGACACGGUCCAAACUCCUACGGGAGGCAGCAGUGAGGAAUAUUGGUCAAUGGGCGAGAGCCUGAACCAGCCAAGUAGCGUGCAGGAAGACGGCCCUAUGGGUUGUAAACUGCUUUUAUAGGGGAAUAAAGUGAGCCACGUGUGGUUUUUUGCAUGUACCCUAUGAAUAAGGACCGGCUAAUUCCGUG